GACGAACGCUGGCGGCGUGCCUAAUACAUGCAAGUCGAACGCAGUGGGGACGGGUGAGUAACACGUGGGUAACCUCCCAUCAGAGGGGAUAACACUUGGAAACAGGUGCUAAACCGAUACUGAUGGAUGGACCCGCGGUGCAUUAGCUAGUUGGUGAGGUAACGGCGCACCAAGGCCACGAUGCAUAGCCGACCGGAGAGGUGGAGCGGCCACACUGGGACGGAGACACGGCCCAGACGCCUACGGGAGGCAGCAGUAGUGCAUCUUAGGCCAUGGACGAAAGUCUGACCGAGCAACGCGGCGUGAGUGAAGAAGGUUUUCGGAUCGUAAAACACUGUUGUUCGAGAAGCGAUACCUAACCAGAAAGCCACGGCUAACUACGUGCCAGCAGCCGCGGUAAUAC
This 403-nucleotide ribosomal RNA is filed under the name uncultured bacterium. RNAcentral's name for it is "partial 16S ribosomal RNA". It matches the Rfam family "Bacterial small subunit ribosomal RNA", at positions 28 to 526 of the family's 1533-position model. The record is from RNAcentral.